AGGUCGGGUGUGUAAGCGCUGCGAGGCGUUGAGCUAACCGAUACUAAUGACCCGUGAGACUUAACCUU
Molecule: ribosomal RNA, 68 nt
Filed under: Biostraticola tofi
Lineage: Bacteria; Pseudomonadati; Pseudomonadota; Gammaproteobacteria; Enterobacterales; Bruguierivoracaceae
Description: partial 23S ribosomal RNA
Source: RNAcentral